AUCUCCCUUGAGUAUCCCAGGUUUUCGUAGAAUAUAAAUAAGCAAUCCAUUUGCUUUAUAAUCAAUAUUCUGAAUUAUAAACCAGAUAUUAAGUAUGAUGCAUAACAAAGUUUUGAUGAUGCUAAUGGCAACUUGAGGAUAAUAUCGUUCGCUCUGGCAUUCUGCAAUGAAUUCGGCAAUUUUUUCGAAGGUUUAUACUAUCCAAGAUGGCCUACUUGAUGGUGCUCUAUUGUGACUUCAGCUAGAUCUAUAAAUCAACUAAAUCUCUAAACUUCUCAACUUUGUUCGAUACUGGAUUUUGUAUUGCACCGUAAAGCUUCGGCAAGUAGAAGACAUUCGAUGCCUGGACGCAGAGGUAGAGGACGCAGGCUGAUUGCGUUUGAUUGAGUAUAAAAGUUGAGAUGCAAGAAUCACGAGUCGAAGUCAACAAAAUGCGAUCUGAACGACAUGAGAUCAAAGAGAAAUUGGUGCGACAGCAAAAGGAACACGAACGACAAAUCAGUAGACAGAGGGAGUCGUCCGCCAAACUGGAACGAACUGUUGAGAGACUAACAAAACAAGUUAUCGAAUACAGACAGUAUCUCGAAAAAAGGGAGGUCAGGUAUUCAGCGCGUCAAAAGUGAAUGCAAGUUGGACUCUCGGGGAAGUCUUCGAGAAGUAACUCUUUACCAUCGCUGCAUAAUAAAAACCAUAAGGGUCCUGUGCAGGAACAUUCGGGACGGUUGAGAUACAACAGGGACGAAAGCGAUGAUACGGAUGUCAUUUUUUUCUAGUUUAUAGACGAGGUAAUAUUUUAAUGCAAGGUGUAUUUGGAAACUCAGUUGUUAAGGCUUGGUUUUAAAGGCUCGUUCAGACAACUAUUUGAAUUUUGGGAAAAAUGACUUUGUCAAUCAGAUGUUGUGCUUAAACAAUGUGUCUGAGUCGAAGUGGAAUAUCUCAUUUCAUUGGUAAAGAUGUCCGUUGCUUCAUAACUAUAAGCCAAGAACCCAUUCUGGUUCUUUGGUGUCUCUGGUCACCUCUGCACCAAACGUGACAUAGUUUGAUAUUACAUAAGAUAGCUGGACUUCAAAUACUAUUUGAGUGGGGCGUGCUUCAGGAUACCUGACAGGUUUGAUAAAGGCCCUUUAACUGAUUGGGAGAGCCAUAAGGGUUCAUGCGGUUGGUUUGGAUCCCAAAGGCUCUAACAGUCUGAAAUACUUUCAAUGGCAACGGCCAUUCUCCCAUCAACAUUUAUCAAGGCAAGUGAUAUGAUAAUUAUUGUUUUUGCACAAUUUUCGAUUGGCUUGGGUAUUUAAAUUCAGGAGAUUCCUGAUAGUUUCAUUACAUACUCUCUGAAUAGAUAAAUAAUGUUUUUUAUUGUGAGAUAUAUUUUCGUUUGAUUUGAAUAUUUUAGAUUUUAUGAUUACCAUAACAAAAUGUAAAUUUAUUUGCAUUGUCUAAGUACUUGUAUCGCGCAACUGUUAGGUUUUAAAUAACAAUUGUCUUUAGGACUUUUUCGUAACUCAGUUUAAACGAAAUUCACGAGACUUGCAUGAUGGCAUUAGCUCCAUGUUAUAAAAAGACCAGUCAUCAAGUUUGUAAGGUUGGUAAGUGGUAAAUAACAUAUGUCUAGAUUAAACUGUUACCAAUUAGAAUCUAGAAGAAACUACUCUAUACGCUCGACGGGUGUCAGCCAACAAGCCUCUCUUCUUUGGUCAUUUGUUUUGCGCCACGUGAUACUUUUCAGCCUCUUAACAGAGGAGCUUGUCCCGGUUGCUAUAGAGAAGUUUAGCGGUGUUUCGAACCCGUUCAUUAAGUUCGCUCACCCUACUGUACGCUCAGACAGUUGUAGUUUAAUCGAGAUUUUAUAAGGCAUACUUUUAGAGAAAA
Non-coding RNA from Rhopilema esculentum, 1869 nucleotides. The record is from RefSeq and is a predicted model, not a curated record. NCBI's taxonomy places the organism in Eukaryota, Metazoa, Cnidaria, Scyphozoa, Rhizostomeae, Rhizostomatidae.